Long non-coding RNA from Hippocampus comes (tiger tail seahorse), 163 nucleotides. RefSeq lists it as uncharacterized. The transcript is spliced from 2 exons. The record is from RefSeq and is a predicted model, not a curated record. Lineage: Eukaryota; Metazoa; Chordata; Actinopteri; Syngnathiformes; Syngnathidae.
GCAAGGGUUGGCAUUGCUGGCAAUCACUUCCGGGUUGUUCAGCCGGUAACCGUGGAAACAGGUGCAAAUAUAGGAGCCCACGGAGUUUGUGCAGUUGGAAUCAGGACCACAGAUCGUGGCGUCUUCGCUGCACUCGUCGAUAUCUGACAAGCAUAAAUUGCAC